AAACAUGGUAUCCAUGCGAUGCACUAACUGAACUCCUUAAAACUGACCCAUUCAGAGCGGACAUCACAGUACCAGGGUACAGGUAUUUUAAAUGUUCAUGCACCGCAGUGGUACUUUCGUCAAGGAAAUCAAGUUCAAGUUUGUUUUCUGUGAAAUGGUUUCACAUUUUUUUAAAUCUCCAUUUCCAUUUCCAAUCUUUGCAACCCAGGUACUGAUUGGUAGCUGUGAACCAUGCUCACCUCCUUCAAGAGCACUUCUGCUUUUUCUUCAUUGCACUUUCUGCUGCCACAAGUUGCUGUUGCUGACUUGUUUCUGGCCACCUGACUGAGAGGACCGGGAACACUUUGGCCAUUGCUGCUUUGGUAGUUCUCCAUGUCUGCAGCAACACUGAGUUCCGAGGUCACUCUGUUGAAAGAUCAUGCCAGGAAGAGAGAGUGACUUUAAAGGAGGCGAAGUAGCUAUCAUUUUGUGACAGAUUUGCUCCUUUAUGUCAGCACAAGAUGACCUUGCCGUAUUGUCACCACAGUUCACCCACCUGCUGGAGAUUUGAAAUUUUAACUGUGUUAGAAAAACGUUCAGCCCACCCCACCCCUCAGCAUGAAACACUAGUUUUACUGUGAUUGUCUUUCAAUCACUGGAAAACCAUAAUAGUUCUCUCCCCAUUCACUCUAGGGGAAAGUCACAGAGGACUGUGAUGUGGUUCUGGUCACUAGGUGAAAUCUGGAGAGAAGUCAUCAGCACAAAAUCCUGCCUGCUCUUGGAGAAUGUAACUCAUCAUUCUUUAUAGCUAAAGUUUGCAGGUGUCUUCUAAAGGCAGGCAAUCAGUUCCUGAAGUGACCGAUAAUGUGCACGGGGGAGUCUGGGACCCCUGAUAACACCGCAAACCACAAGGCUGUCAGCUGGAAAGGAAGUCCAUAGUUUGUUCAUGGUGAAACAGGAAAGUGAGAGAAACAGUCUGGGACCGACGCAAAAUCCUGUGCUAUACAGGCAGGCUAAAACCUCCGUUUAUGGGUCAAGGACCCAAAGAAGUAAUGGUCAGAAGCCAUUACAAAAAACAGCGAUCUGGCAUUGCUGUGUUGUGCAUAUUAAAAUAGCAUAAUAAGAAUUUCUUAAUAAAAGCUAGAAACGG
Molecule: long non-coding RNA, 1129 nt
Organism: Oreochromis aureus
Lineage: Eukaryota; Metazoa; Chordata; Actinopteri; Cichliformes; Cichlidae
Source: Ensembl